UUGGGCUUCGGCCCAUAGUAAAGUGGCGGACGGGUGAGUAACACGUGGAUAAUCUGCCCUUCGGCGGGGGACAACAGUCCGAAAGGAUUGCUAAUACCGCAUUCGUCAACAAGGUCUUCGGACCUUGUUGGGAAAGAUGGCCUCUUCAUGAAAGCUAUCACCGAAGGAUGAGUCCGCGUCCCAUCAGCUAGUUGGCGGGGUAAUGGCCCACCAAGGCUAAGACGGGUAGCUGGUCUGAGAGGAUGAUCAGCCACACUGGAACUGAGACACGGUCCAGACUCCUACGGGAGGCAGCAGUGGGGAAUAUUGGGCAAUGGGCGCAAGCCUGACCCAGCCAUGCCGCGUGAGUGAUGAAGGCCUUCGGG
Molecule: ribosomal RNA, 365 nt
Filed under: uncultured bacterium
Lineage: Bacteria
Description: bacterial SSU rRNA
Rfam family: Bacterial small subunit ribosomal RNA
Source: RNAcentral